RNAcentral lists this unclassified non-coding RNA (200 nucleotides) under plant metagenome. Its description in RNAcentral is "partial contains small subunit ribosomal RNA, internal transcribed spacer 1, and 5.8S ribosomal RNA". The stretch from base 152 to 200 matches the Rfam family "5.8S ribosomal RNA", at positions 1 to 49 of the family's 154-position model. The record is from RNAcentral.
UUUCCGUAGGUGAACCUGCGGAAGGAUCAUUAGCACUUUCUUUUGUGUUUUUUGUGAAUCCAUGGGAAGGACGUGUUCUUUUUUCUUUUUGCUAUACCCAACCCACACCAACCACACCACAGCACACCAAACAACAAUCCAAACACGAAACAACUCUUAGCAACGGAUAUCUUGGCUCUCUCAUCGAUGAAGAACGCAGC